RNAcentral lists this ribosomal RNA (253 nucleotides) under uncultured bacterium. RNAcentral's name for it is "partial 16S ribosomal RNA". It matches the Rfam family "Bacterial small subunit ribosomal RNA", at positions 524 to 776 of the family's 1533-position model. The record is from RNAcentral.
UACGAAGGGGACUAGCGUUGUUCGGAAUUACUGGGCGUAAAGCGCACGUAGGCGGAUUUGUUAGUCAGGGGUGAAAUCCCGGGGCUCAACCUCGGAACUGCCUUUGAUACUGCAAAUCUCGAGUCCGAUAGAGGUGAGUGGAACUGCGAGUGUAGAGGUGAAAUUCGUAGAUAUUCGCAAGAACACCAGUGGCGAAGGCGGCUCACUGGCCCGGUACUGACGCUGAGGUGCGAAAGCGUGGGGAGCAAACAGG